This 460-nucleotide ribosomal RNA is filed under the name uncultured bacterium. Its description in RNAcentral is "partial 16S ribosomal RNA". It matches the Rfam family "Bacterial small subunit ribosomal RNA", at positions 338 to 795 of the family's 1533-position model. The record is from RNAcentral.
CCUACGGGUGGCAGCAGUGAGGAAUAUUGGUCAAUGGGCGAGAGCCUGAACCAGCCAAGUCGCGUGAAGGAUGAAGGAUCUAUGGUUUGUAAACUUCUUUUAUAUGGGAAUAAAGUGAGGAACGUGUUCCUUUUUGUAUGUACCAUAUGAAUAAGCAUCGGCUAACCCAGUGCCAGCAGCCGCGGUAAUACGGAGGAUGCGAGCGUUAUCCGGAUUUAUGGGGUUUAAAGGGUGCGUAGGUGGUUAAUUAAGUCAGCGGUGAAAGUUUGUGGCUCAACCAUAAAAUUGCCGUUGAAACUGGUCGACUUGAGUAUAUUAGAGGUAGGCGGAAUGCGUGGUGUAGCAGUGAAAUGCAUAGAUAUCACGCAGAACUCCGAUUGCGAAGGCAGCUUACUAAACUAUAACUGACACUGAGGCACGAAAGCGUGGGGAUCAAACAGGAUUAGAUACCCGGGUAGUC